GACGAACGCUGGCGGCGUGCUUAACACAUGCAAGUCGAACGGAAAGGCCCUGCUUUUGUGGGGUGCUCGAGUGGCGAGCGGGUGAGUAACACGUGAGUAACCUGCCCUUGACUUUGGGAUAACUUCAGGAAACUGGGGCUAAUACCGGAUAGGAGCUCCUGCUGCAUGGUGGGGGUUGGAAAGUUUCGGCGGUUGGGGAUGGACUCGCGGCUUAUCAGCUUGUUGGCGGGGUAGUGGCUUACCAAGGCUUUGACGGGUAGCCGGCCUGAGAGGGUGACCGGCCACAUUGGGACUGAGAUACGGCCCAGACUCCUACGGGAGGCAGCAGUGGGGAAUAUUGCACAAUGGGCGGAAGCCUGAUGCAGCAACGCCGCGUGCGGGAUGACGGCCUUCGGGUUGUAAACCGCUUUCGCCUGUGACGAAGCGUGAGUGACGGUAAUGGGUAAAGAAGCACCGGCUAACUACGUG
Molecule: ribosomal RNA, 468 nt
Filed under: uncultured bacterium
Lineage: Bacteria
Description: partial 16S ribosomal RNA
Rfam family: Bacterial small subunit ribosomal RNA
Source: RNAcentral